This is a long non-coding RNA of Coffea eugenioides, 476 nucleotides long. RefSeq lists it as uncharacterized. NCBI's taxonomy places the organism in Eukaryota, Viridiplantae, Streptophyta, Magnoliopsida, Gentianales, Rubiaceae. The record is from RefSeq and is a predicted model, not a curated record. The transcript has 2 exons.
GACUUGUGCCAGGGCUAUCAUGUGCCUUGGCUAUCAAGUACCAAGGCCUUGGCUAUCAUGUGCCCCUUGUGCCCAUGUCAUGAUAAUAAUAACGAAUAAAAUUCAUGACUUUCAUUAUUGAUGUGAAUGUCAGAUGAUGGAAUAGUGGUAAAGGUUGCAAAGGAGGGAAUUCCACUGCCUCCAGAUAGAAUGUUAUGCCCUUUGCAUUCACAAAAGCGUGUAAACCCAUCAGCUGUAGCUGUUUCAGGAUUUGUCUUUUGUUAUUCUUACAUAUUUAAAUAAGUCUCUUAGGUUUGUUUCUCCAUACUUUUGUAUUGAUCAUGGUAAAAUUGCAGAACUACUGCCAAAUAUUGUUUCUAAGUGAUGCUUUCUCUUAUGUCACAUUUCAGGAAGCUUUUAUCAUUUUUCUAUAUAGUGUACGCUAAACUUAAACAGUAAAUUGUACACUGUAGCCAGAAAUUCAAUUUUGCAACUAA